Molecule: long non-coding RNA, 651 nt
Organism: Monopterus albus (swamp eel)
Lineage: Eukaryota; Metazoa; Chordata; Actinopteri; Synbranchiformes; Synbranchidae
Exons: 3
Source: RefSeq, a predicted model, not a curated record
UAGACUGGCGACCUGUCCAGGGUUUUACCUUUCCUUUCACCCAGAGUAGGCUGGGACCGAGUCCAGCCCUCCAGCCACCCGGGAUCAGCACUAUAGAUAUUGGAUGGCUGACAAAGCGGCAGGUGUGAGUCCUGCGCCUCCACUGAGGUUACUCCACUGUGGUGCAGUCAGCACUAGUGUUGGCGUGGUUCCUCCAGCUACCAAGCAAGCAACUGUGAAGAAACCCAAAUACUGACACUAGCAAGGCUGGACGUGGACCCAGAAACCUCAGACACAACCCACAGCAGGGUCACCUGUUGUUUAAGAUCAGCUGACAGGACCAGAGAUCCAUACAGCACUGGCCCAGCUCUGGGAGAUUUCAUUACCUACACCUGUUGUAUCUAUUUGGCCAAAGUGGAUCUGGAGGCUUUUCAAAACAGAGAUGAACUGUCUGGUUCGGCUGUGGUUCUUGGCUUGAGAAUUUGACAGGGAGGAUUUCCAGCUCCCUCGCCAUCUCUCUUUGGAAUGAAGAUGCCACCAGCUUUGGAAACACUACAUGAUCCAUCAAAUCCAUCCACACAACCUACUAACGAGACAAUGCAAGUUAAGGGACACCCCCCGCUGCUAUGUGGGCUGAGAGCUGCCACUACUGCUGACCCCUCUGUAUCAGGA